This 783-nucleotide ribosomal RNA is filed under the name uncultured bacterium. Its description in RNAcentral is "bacterial SSU rRNA". It matches the Rfam family "Bacterial small subunit ribosomal RNA", at positions 67 to 870 of the family's 1533-position model. The record is from RNAcentral.
CGGGAGAAUUGCUAGCUUGCUAAUAAUUCUCUAGUGGCGCACGGGUGAGUAACACGUGAGUAACCUGCCCCCAAGAGUGGGAUAGCCCCGGGAAACUGGGAUUAAUACCGCAUAAAAUCGCAAGAUUAAAGCAGCAAUGCGCUUGGGGAUGGGCUCGCGUCCUAUUAGUUAGUUGGUGAGGUAACGGCUCACCAAGGCGAUGACGGGUAGCCGGUCUGAGAGGAUGUCCGGCCACACUGGAACUGAGACACGGUCCAGACACCUACGGGUGGCAGCAGUCGAGAAUCAUUCACAAUGGGGGAAACCCUGAUGGUGCGACGCCGCGUGGGGGAAUGAAGGUCUUCGGAUUGUAAACCCCUGUCAUGUGGGAGCAAAUUAAAAAGAUAGUACCACAAGAGGAAGAGACGGCUAACUCUGUGCCAGCAGCCGCGGUAAUACAGAGGUCUCAAGCGUUGUUCGGAAUCACUGGGCGUAAAGCGUGCGUAGGCGGUUUCGUAAGUCGUGUGUGAAAGGCGGGGGCUCAACCCCCGGACUGCACAUGAUACUGCGAGACUAGAGUAAUGGAGGGGGAACCGGAAUUCUCGGUGUAGCAGUGAAAUGCGUAGAUAUCGAGAGGAACACUCGUGGCGAAGGCGGGUUCCUGGACAUUAACUGACGCUGAGGCACGAAGGCCAGGGGAGCGAAAGGGAUUAGAUACCCCUGUAGUCCUGGCAGUAAACGGUGCACGCUUGGUGUGCGGGGAAUCGACCCCCUGCGUGCCGGAGCUAACGCGUUAAGCGUGCC